This 340-nucleotide unclassified non-coding RNA is filed under the name uncultured Entrophosporaceae. Its description in RNAcentral is "uncultured Claroideoglomeraceae sequence contains 18S rRNA gene". Lineage: Eukaryota; Fungi; Glomeromycota; Glomeromycetes; Entrophosporales; Entrophosporaceae. The record is from RNAcentral.
CCCAACUAUCCCUAUUAAUCAUUACGGUGAUCCUAGAAACCAACAAAAUAGAAUCAUGCCGUCCUAUUUUAUUAUUCCAUGCUAAUGUAUUCAAGCAAAAUGCCUGCUUUAAACACUCUAAUUUUUUCAAAGUAAAGGUCCUGGUUCCCCGCGUCACCCAAUUAAGGACAGCGCGGUUCUCCAGAAGGUGAGAAAUUGACUACGCCAGUUCAUACCCCUUAGGGCACGACCGACGUGUCAAUCCCGAAAUUCAACUACGAGCUUUUUAACUGCAACAACUUUAAUAUACGCUAUUGGAGCUGGAAUUACCGCGGCUGCUAAUACCAGACUUGCCCUCCAA